RNAcentral lists this ribosomal RNA (462 nucleotides) under uncultured bacterium. RNAcentral's name for it is "partial 16S ribosomal RNA". It matches the Rfam family "Bacterial small subunit ribosomal RNA", at positions 28 to 507 of the family's 1533-position model. The record is from RNAcentral.
GAUGAACGCUGACAGAAUGCUUAACACAUGCAAGUCGAUGGGGAAGUGGUGCUUGCACCAUGGUAACCAUGGCGGACGGGUGAGUAACGCGUAAGGAACUUGCCUGCGGGACUGGGAUAACAGCAGGAAACUGCUGAUAAUACCGGAAAGGUCAUUAAGCUGCAUAGCUUAGUGAUGAAAGGAGACGCCUGCGGAGAGCCUUGCGUCCUAUUAGCUAGUUGGAGGGGUAACGGCCCACCAAGGCGAAGAUAGGUAGCCGGCCUGAGAGGGUGGACGGCCACAAGGGGACUGAGAUACGGCCCUUACUCCUACGGGAGGCAGCAGUGGGGAAUAUUGGACAAUGGGGGCAACCCUGAUCCAGCAAUUCUGUGUGCACGAAGACGGUUUUCGGAUUGUAAAGUGCUUUCAGCAGGGAAGAAGGAAGUGACGGUACCUGCAGAAGAAGCGACGGCUAAAUACGUG